UACGUAGGUGGCAAGCGUUAUCCGGAUUUAUUGGGCGUAAAGGGAACGCAGGCGGUCUUUUAAGUCUGAUGUGAAAGCCUUCGGCUUAACCGGAGUAGUGCAUUGGAAACUGGGAGACUUGAGUGCAGAAGAGGAGAGUGGAACUCCAUGUGUAGCGGUGAAAUGCGUAGAUAUAUGGAAGAACACCAGUGGCGAAAGCGGUUCUCUGGUCUGUAACUGACGCUGAGGUUCGAAAGCGUGGGUAGCAAACAGG
This 253-nucleotide ribosomal RNA is filed under the name uncultured bacterium. RNAcentral describes it as "partial 16S ribosomal RNA". It matches the Rfam family "Bacterial small subunit ribosomal RNA", at positions 524 to 776 of the family's 1533-position model. The record is from RNAcentral.